UACGUAGGUGGCAAGCGUUGUCCGGAUUUAUUGGGUUUAAAGGGUGCGUAGGCGGUCUUAUAAGUCAGUGGUGAAAUACGGCAGCUCAACUGUCGAGGUGCCAUUGAUACUGUAGGACUUGAGUACAGACGAGGUAGGCGGAAUUGACGGUGUAGCGGUGAAAUGCUUAGAUAUCGUCAAGAACACCGAUAGCGAAGGCAGCUUACUAGGCUGUAACUGACGCUGAGGCACGAAAAGUGUGGGGGAUC
Molecule: ribosomal RNA, 248 nt
Filed under: uncultured bacterium
Lineage: Bacteria
Description: partial 16S ribosomal RNA
Rfam family: Bacterial small subunit ribosomal RNA
Source: RNAcentral